CUCAAAAAUACAUUUUUUUGUUGGAGGUGACUCAAAACAUGGCCCUCCUAAAAACCGUAAAAACUGUGUUCAUGAGGGAAUCGAUGAAAAGGCGAUAGUAAGGGCGAAGAAUUCAACACAACAUUCUUGAAAAAAGGAACAGAGAGGGAGAGAGGAAGAAUUCGACAUAGCAUUCUUCAAAGAAACGGAGAGAUACAGAAGGAGGCGGUAAUGGAGAGUGCAAGAGAAUGGAUAAAGUGCGAUGAGAGUGCGAAGAGCUUGAUGGAUAGGGUAUCAAUGGAGCGUCCUUCUUUGCUUCUCCCUCCUCCUCUUCACAGAGCUCCUCUCUGCGCUGGUAAUGUCGUCGAGAUCGUUGGCCCUUCCCCUUCUGCCAAGUCCUACAUCUUAUUGCAAGCUGCAAUUAAUUGUAUCUUGCCAAAAGAAUGGAAUGGAAUCCAUUAUGGCGGUUUGGAAAGAUUGGUGAUGUAUUUUGAUCUGGAUUGCCGCUUCGAUGUCUCUUAUCUUUCUCAAUCCUUAAAACGUCGCAUAGUUAGGGCUCAGGGACCAGAUAGUCAUUCUUUGGUUGAACAAGAUACACAUCUUGAUGAGGUUCUGUUUUUGGCUUGCCUGAAGCGCUUUUUAUAUAUUCGUUGCUAUAACAGCUUGGAGUUUCUAGCUGCUCUUAAGACUAUUCGCCCUCAGCUUCAAACGGAAAGUGAAGGUCAUGGCAUUGGUGUCCAUUUUCUUAUGUUUGACAGCAUUAGUGCUUAUUAUUGGAUUGACCGGGCAUAUAAACCAUUGUCAUCUGCGAUAAGUAAUAGGAAACCCUUCUCUCUUCAAUCUAUAACAGAAGCGGUUGUUCAAGAACUACGACAACUUUUACAGUUCCACCCCAUGCUAGUAUUGGCCACAAAACCAGCUCUACUAGGACUGGAGUUUUCAGCAUGCCACAUUACGAGGAAGCAGUCUUCUUCACCAUCUGCAACAGGUAUGCUUCCUUUAAGCAGAGGAGCAGAGAGAUUUCUUUAUCGGGAGUAUAUGCCUUCUGCUUGGCAGGUGAUUCUUUUUCUUGUCGAUAUUGCUUAAUAUGGAUUAUGGGUGAUAUGAAACCAAUUUUUCUCUGCUUUAAAUGUGCUGUACAUGGCUCCAAUUUCUGUAUUUGUUUCCCUUUCACAUAAUAUCUGAUAUGUCAAUUAAAAUUGUUAGACUAUACAUAUUCAUGUACCAUGCAAUGCCCUCAUUUCUAUCAUGUAUUUAUUUGUUCCUUAAUGCUUGAUAUUGUUGUUGGGUAUUGUUGUCUUUUGGCUUCAAGUUACUGGUUUAUAGGACACAAGGGUUCAUUAUUGUGGUUUUUUAUCCUGGUUUGUUAGACUUCAUUGUUUCAUAUGAAGAGCAUUACUUACUCUCUCAUGUAGUCAUACCACAACCCCUAACUUAAAAUUCUCCAUUUGUCAAGUUUGAGGUUUGUGGAGGUUUCUGUCAAAUCCAAGGGCUGUCUAAUUUAGUACUUUGAUAAAAAUUUUUAGAGCAAUACUCAAAUCUAUUCUUGGUAGUGCAGUAAACAUUUGGCAUCAAAAUCUAGAAUAAGCCCUUGGCCUUUUAAUCCAAUUUGGAUAUUUUAAUGGCAAAGGUUUCACAAAUUUGGGACCAACAGGUGAUAACACUGCUCAUUUUGGUUCACAUGCAUGGUCAAAGGCCACGCUUGAAUGAUUUCUACGAACUAUAUCAGACCCUGUAGAAGUUUCAUGGAGAUAAGUUUUGUGAAUGGAAUUAUGAUUUUUGGCCAAAUAUUUCAAAUUCUUGGAUUUUUGGGCACAUGUGGGUCGUCAUGUGGGGCUGAAAUGGCAAAAUUCUAGAAGAGCACUGAUCAUGACCCUUUCCGAGAAUCUUUUUGUAGUUCACUUCAUGGAAAACAUAUUUCCUUUCACUAAGAUGACCUUUAAAUCCCUAAGAUUGCUCAAGAAACCACCUCAUAUCCUGCAAAAAAACCACUCAAAACUUUUGUUUAACUGCUCAUCUUUGGGCUCUCUCUAAUUAGUUUAGUUGGCUUGGUCUUUUGAAUUCUAUACUCGCAUGUGGGGUAGGAUGGAUUGUCUAUGGAGCAUUAGGGCUUGCUGCUUUUAAAUAGUAAUUUCCCUAGACCCCCUUGAAAUCAUCACACUUGGGAGCAGGUGCACUACAAUUAGCAUCAAGUCUGAAUAGACAAGUUCGCCGGUUGACUUGCAUUUUCAGAAACAUGGAUACGUCAGGGAAUGAAUGAUGGUCAUUUGUUUCACACAGGAUACACUUAAGAAUUUCAGAUGAAACUUUUGCCGAUGCUGAAAAUAGAUAUCUUCCCAUUUAUAUAACAGAAU
This is a non-coding RNA of Amborella trichopoda, 2333 nucleotides long. The record is from RefSeq and is a predicted model, not a curated record. NCBI's taxonomy places the organism in Eukaryota, Viridiplantae, Streptophyta, Magnoliopsida, Amborellales, Amborellaceae.